This 406-nucleotide ribosomal RNA is filed under the name uncultured bacterium. Its description in RNAcentral is "partial 16S ribosomal RNA". It matches the Rfam family "Bacterial small subunit ribosomal RNA", at positions 30 to 526 of the family's 1533-position model. The record is from RNAcentral.
AUUGAACGCUGGCGGCAGGCCUAACACAUGCAAGUCGAACGAAUGGCGGACGGGUGAGUAAUGUCUGGGCAACUGCCUGAUGGAGGGGGCUAACUACUGGAACCGGUCGCUAAUCCCGCCUACAAUCCGUUGUGCCCAGCUUGGAUUAGCUUGUUGGUGGGGUAACGGCUCACCAAGGCGACGAUCCCUAGCUGGUCUGAGAGGAUGACCAGCAACACUGGAACUGAGACACGGUCCAGACUCCUACGGGAGGCAGCAGUGGGGAAUAGUCGACAAUGGGCGCAAGCCUGAUGCAGCCACGCCGCGUGUAUGAAGAAGGCCUUCGGGUUGUAAAGUACUUUCAGCGGGGAGGCGUUACCCGCAGAAGAAGCACCGGCUAACUCCGUGCCAGCAGCCGCGGUAAUAC